CUCGCUUCUCGGCCUUUUGGCUAAGAUCAAGUGUAGUAUCUGUUCUUACCGGUUUCAUAUCUGAUACAUCUUCGAUGUGGGGACGCUGCGGCUUUUUGGAGUAAGGAGGUGGGCUUGGGAGCUUGCUCCGUCCUCUCCACGCAUCAGCCUGGUAUUGUGGUGCUUCCAAGAUGGGUGCGUUUCCC
Small nuclear RNA from Tachyglossus aculeatus (Australian echidna), 185 nucleotides. RefSeq annotates it as U2 spliceosomal RNA. NCBI's taxonomy places the organism in Eukaryota, Metazoa, Chordata, Mammalia, Monotremata, Tachyglossidae. The record is from RefSeq and is a predicted model, not a curated record. The transcript has a single exon.